GAUGAACGCUAGCUACAGGCUUAACACAUGCAAGUCGAGGGGAAACGGCAUCGAAAGCUUGCUUUUGAUGGGCGUCGACCGGCGCACGGGUGAGUAACGCGUAUCCAACCUGCCCAUCACUUGGGAAUAACCUUGCGAAAGUAAGACUAAUGCCCAAUGACAUCCCACGAAGGCAUCCGAAUGGGAUUAAAGAUUUAUCGGUGAUGGAUGGGGAUGCGUCUGAUUAGCUUGUUGGCGGGGUGACGGCCCACCAAGGCAACGAUCAGUAGGGGUUCUGAGAGGAAGGUCCCCCACAUUGGAACUGAGACACGGUCCACACUCCUACGGGAGGCAGCAGUGAGGAAGAUUGGUCAAUGGGCGAGAGCCUGAACCAGCCAAGUAGCGUGCAGGAUGACGGCCCUAUGGGUUGUAAACUGCUUUUAUAAGGGAAUAAAGUGGGUCACGUGUGACUUUUUGCAUGUACCUUAUGAAUAAGGACCGGCUAAUUCCGUG
This 492-nucleotide ribosomal RNA is filed under the name uncultured bacterium. RNAcentral describes it as "partial 16S ribosomal RNA". It matches the Rfam family "Bacterial small subunit ribosomal RNA", at positions 28 to 507 of the family's 1533-position model. The record is from RNAcentral.